Long non-coding RNA from Solanum pennellii, 923 nucleotides. RefSeq lists it as uncharacterized. The record is from RefSeq and is a predicted model, not a curated record. The transcript is spliced from 2 exons. Lineage: Eukaryota; Viridiplantae; Streptophyta; Magnoliopsida; Solanales; Solanaceae.
UGAUAACAUAUCAGAUUGUGAAAAGAAAUUAAUUUCAUUUCUUUUUCUUUUUCCACAUCAUUUUUUGUUCUAAUUUUCACUGUUCACUCAUCUUCUUCAUUGUUCCAUGUUCUUAAUUAUUCCAAUAAUCAAUACAUACAAAAGUUAUUGUUACCCUCUGCAAAAAUUCAACACACGCAACAUAAUUUCUAAUAAUUUUACGAAUAUUGUGUGAAGCAGUGAAUAUGUAUACGUCGGCAAGUGCUUCAAGGACAACUUUGAAAAAUGAUCAUCAUCAUUGGAGUUGGGUUUGUUGUUUUUUGAAAGCUUGAUCUUAACAGCCAUGGUUGCUCUAUGAACAACCAUCAACCGCUUCAACAACAAUCGCCGGAGUUACUGUUUUUAUAAGAGGCACAAAAUCGACAGAUCUGAUGGUGGCUCGCCUGAAAAGAAAAAAAAAUGAAAAAAAAUAAAGGAAAAGGGUAUGUCCAAUGCUUUUUCCAUGGUUGCAGGUGUGAAAUUUCUUAACGAGAUUUGAUGGUCUCACGGCGGCUAACUCUCGCAAGAGGUUUAAACGGUGAUGAACGAAGAACAAAGGGGUUGGGGUGAGGUCUGGCGUGGUUGAGUUUCGUUGAAUUUGUUAUUCCAGAAAUGUUCUCUCGGAAGUGACCGACGGCGGUGGAAACAAAGAGAGCCGGUACAGAUUGCUCAAAGAAGAUGAAGUGGGACCCACUUACCUCCUCUUUUCAUUUUUAUGUUAUUUACGCGCUUAGAAUUAUUUUUUUUGCCACGUCAAUCUCUAAAGUGAUAUUUAAUUCACUUGUAACUUGUUUAAGGGAGUAUUUAAAUACAUGUAAAGUUGCAGUGCUAAAGUAAAUUUUGGGGACAAGUUUGAGAGGGAAUUUAUGUAUUUUUCCUUAAAUUUAUGCUCAAGUUAUUUGAUA